GGGAUAACUUCAGGAAACUGGGGCUAAUACCGGAUAGGAGCUCCUGCUGCAUGGCGGGGGUUGGAAAGUUUCGGCGGUUGGGGAUGGACUCGCGGCUUAUCAGCUUGUUGGUGGGGUAGUGGCUUACCAAGGCUUUGACGGGUAGCCGGCCUGAGAGGGUGACCGGCCACAUUGGGACUGAGAUACGGCCCAG
This 193-nucleotide ribosomal RNA is filed under the name uncultured Actinomycetales bacterium. RNAcentral describes it as "partial 16S ribosomal RNA". It matches the Rfam family "Bacterial small subunit ribosomal RNA", at positions 140 to 334 of the family's 1533-position model. The record is from RNAcentral. Lineage: Bacteria; Bacillati; Actinomycetota; Actinomycetes; Actinomycetales.